RNAcentral lists this transfer RNA (69 nucleotides) under Bathyraja bergi (bottom skate). RNAcentral's name for it is "tRNA-Phe". It matches the Rfam family "tRNA". Rfam says of the family: Transfer RNA (tRNA) molecules are approximately 80 nucleotides in length. The record is from RNAcentral. Lineage: Eukaryota; Metazoa; Chordata; Chondrichthyes; Rajiformes; Arhynchobatidae.
GCUAAUGUAGCUUAAUUUAAAGCAUAGCACUGAAAAUGCUAAGAUAAAUUUUAAAAACUUUCAUAAGCG